CUCAGUUUCAAGUGGCUGCUGCUGCUUUCGCCCUCCCCUUCAGUGCGACAAUCUCAGAGCUGGUGGAGAAGCAGAGCGCGUGCAGCUGGAUAAAUUCGUAGAUGUGGAAUUUCUGGAUCAAAUGGUCACCAAUUGUUUCAGCAUCAUUUAUUGAAUAAUUCAACCUUCUUCCACUGAUAUGAAAUGGCAACAACUGCUCUCCCUUUAGCUAGGGUAUAGUGUCCACAGGUUGGCCAUUUUCUUUCUACCCGAGAUGGUCACAUUCCUCAAUAGCACUCCUACCUUCUUGCAGCUUCUGGCAGCUUUCUAAAACAUCAUGUUCGUGUUCAUGCCUUUCAAGGAUUCUAGGCACAUGUGGUUUAGGGCAGU
This is a long non-coding RNA of Mustela lutreola (European mink), 369 nucleotides long. RefSeq lists it as uncharacterized. The record is from RefSeq and is a predicted model, not a curated record. NCBI's taxonomy places the organism in Eukaryota, Metazoa, Chordata, Mammalia, Carnivora, Mustelidae. The transcript is spliced from 3 exons.